UGCUGGUCACCCUCCACCAAACCAGUGCCCCUAAUGGGGUGGGUCUGAGCUGGUCCGGUUCUAGGCGUGUGCAUGGGCUUUUCUUGACCGUGAAUGUUCAUGUUCAGGCUCACGCUCAAGACAGGUACCUACCCAUCCCCUCCCCAACUCCCGUCCAACCUCCUGUCCCUUCCCCAUGUCAUCCCGUCUCCCUCUAGUCCUAUCCCUCCCACGUCCCAUGUCACUGCAGCGUUCAGCCCCAUGCCCGCCUCCCUCCCUCUGCACCCAUCCCACCUCCAUUCUCUCCCACCACCUACCUCUUCCCACGCAUCAUCCCAUCUCAUUGCUAGUCACGUCCUCAUCCCAGCUCUACUCCCAUCCCGUCUCCCACCCCUUGCACACCCCAUCAAGUGUCAGCCCACCGCCUUCGCUACUCCGCUCCCCCAUCUCAUCGCUACCUCCAUCCCAUCUGUCGCCUACUCCCACCCUUGCCUCAGUCUCAUUCCCAUCCCACGCCAUCGUUUCCAAAGCUCCCAGGCUCGAGAUCUGGGCCCAGUGGGGUCUGGGCUGGUUUUGGUGCCCCCCAUGGUGUUUGGCCUCGGGCUCAUCGGUAAAAGUGGUUAGGGACCCCUUCUCACGGAGUCUUCAGGAGUAUAGGAGCCUUAGUAAAGUACUGAGUAGUCAAAGCUGUAUGUCUGCUGGCGGUGACCCAGCAUGCCUCGGAGGACACCCCAAAAACGGCUCAGUGCGACACUGAUGCCUUUCGCCCUUUUGACAAGUGCUGAUGUCCCCGUGAAGCAGCAGGGUGCUAUUUGCCUGUGUGUGCUAAUUUCCCUCUUUCCUCCAGUUGAGCCAUCUGCUGGAGCGACUCGCCAGGUCAGCCCCACCCAGCAAGGCGCUGCAGACUCCUCACUGCUCCACCAACCAAAGAAAACCUCUGCCAACCGAAAUCAUGGUCGAAUGGAAGAAAACCAUGGAUCUUCACUCAGAUGCCAGAGAAAGGCCUGGGCAACCACCGCAGCCUGUCAGGACCAGACGGCAUGGCCACUGGCACCAGAGAAUGAGAACGGGACCCGUUCAUUGUGACCCAUUUGUGCAGUUUGCCUCUGCUGCAGUCCUACAGAGAUCACCCAAGUAUGUCAUCUUUUAUCUAUUGUCUCUGAUUCUAAACACAGCAAAGCUCAUUUUUGAGAUCAAAUAGUAAGUUCUAAGAGUAUCUAGUCACUGAGAUGUAAUAAUGAAAUUAUGAAAAUAAAGUGUAUACAAAGAUUUAUUCAGUUAUCGGAGAAUAAGUGAAUUCAGGUAAUAUAAGUUAAAAUAGUAAAAAAUAAUUUUAUGUACAUAUUAACACAUUCAAUUAAUUAUUUAUCAAUAAAGUAUGUAAUUAAUCUAUAA
Pteropus alecto (black flying fox) is the source of this 1374-nucleotide long non-coding RNA. RefSeq lists it as uncharacterized. Lineage: Eukaryota; Metazoa; Chordata; Mammalia; Chiroptera; Pteropodidae. The transcript has 3 exons. The record is from RefSeq and is a predicted model, not a curated record.